CACGUAGGGGGCGAGCGUUGUCCGGAAUCAUUGGGCGUAAAGAGCUCGUAGGCGGCUCGGUAAGUCGGGUGUGAAACCCUCAGGCUCAACCUGGGGACGCCACCCGAUACUGCCGUGGCUAGAGUCCAGUAGGGGAGUGUGGAAUUCCCGGUGUAGCGGUGAAAUGCGCAGAUAUCGGGAGGAACACCAGCGGCGAAGGCGGCACUCUGGGCUGGUACUGACGCUGAGGAGCGAAAGCGUGGGUAGCAAACAGG
This 254-nucleotide ribosomal RNA is filed under the name Actinomarinicola sp. RNAcentral's name for it is "partial 16S ribosomal RNA". It matches the Rfam family "Bacterial small subunit ribosomal RNA", at positions 524 to 776 of the family's 1533-position model. Lineage: Bacteria; Bacillati; Actinomycetota; Acidimicrobiia; Acidimicrobiales; Iamiaceae. RNAcentral also lists the same sequence under 1 other name. The record is from RNAcentral.